CGAGCGGGAGCCGCGCGGGAGCAGCGCAGCUACGGCGGCGGCAGCGGCGGCGCGGUUGCGAUUCCGAGCCGUUGAGACGCCUCUGCGGCAGCUGGUGGCGCAGGUGGCUUGCGUGGACGCGGGUAGAGGCGACCGGCCAGCAACCGCAGCGUCGGCGCCCGCGGCCCCGGCAGCAGGCGCGUCGGGACGCCCCGAGGCAUCCUCCCCCGCCCGCGGGCCCGACAGCUGGGCCCGCGUCCGCCGCCCGCAUCCCCGCGCCGCCGCAUCUCCUCGCCGCCUCUCGGGCUUCGGACCCCCGGUCUCGCCCCCGAAACAUGACUCGCGAUUUCAAACCUGGAGACCUCAUCUUCGCCAAGAUGAAAGGUUAUCCCCAUUGGCCAGCUCGAGUAGACGAAGUUCCUGAUGGAGCUGUAAAGCCACCCACAAACAAACUACCCAUUUUCUUUUUUGGAACUCAUGAGACGUAAGUCUUUUUAGCUUUAAAGGCAAAUCAGAGCUAAUUUAACAGGGUUAUUGGGCAGUAGACAUUAAUUCAAGGGGGAAAUCGUAACAUAAUAGGAAACUUUAAAAUCUUUGAACUUUGGAAAGAGUCUUUAAGUCUCUGUUUUUAAGGUAGCGUUUACAGAUGCUAUAGGUUUAUUUUUUACUGGAAUUGAUAUUUCCUUAACCAAAAAAGAAAGUAGAAAUUCUCUCAGCAAUAAGAAUGAUUGAUGGAUGAAAAUAUAUGAGGAAAGUUUUAAUAAGUGAUCUGAUAUUCCUAUGCAGUAAAAUAAGUGCUUUUUAUAAGGACUACUUGGUACCUAAUUUUUGGUUUUAUGAUAUCAGAUAUACAAACUGUGUAUAUUGUGGGGAAGGUGAGAAGAGGAAGUCUAGCUAGUUCCCUCCAUGUGUUUAUAUGGUGCCUGAAGCUCUGCUGCCUCUGGUGGGUAUGUGGGCAGAGAACUGAUGUGAAGCAAAUUUUUCAAAAAUUCCUCUGAAUGUUGACAUAUGUUACUGCCAAGUGCAUGGGAUCACUCCAGAGACUACCAUUAAUUUCCCAAAGAAUAUUCCUACGUACCUAUAAUUUAAUGGCCUUACAAAUACUAUAUAAUCUGGUUGAUUUUGGACUUGAAGUUUGGAGUCUGUCAUAAUUUUGGUAGUCUUGUUUACCUGGGAUGAGGAGAAACAAAACUAUUGCUAUUCUGAUGAGAAUUAUAUAUUCCUAAGAGUGGCUACAAUGGCAAUAUUUCGUUUAAAGUUGCUUAGCUACUGUAUAAACUUUCACACAAUGUCUUUAAUAGCUUUAUUGAGAUGGAAUUUACAUACAAAGAAGUUCACCUGCUUGAAGUGUAUAGGUCAAUAGAUUUUAGUAUAUUUACUAUCAUAACCUUUUGAUGAUCACUUUCCCCUCUCCAACCCUAAACAACUACUGGUCUACUGUCUGUAUAGACUUACCGGUUCUGGACAUUUUAUUUGAAUGGUGUUAUACAAUAUUUCAUAAUAAGUUUUUAAAAAAAUCCAACUUUGGAUCCAGAAUUGGUUUGGCCUUCAUCAUAAUUAGAGUUAGGUUCAAGUGUAUUCUAUAUAUAACAAUAUAAUUUUUAAGAAGUGAUAAAUUUCUGAUUCCAUGGGAUACUGUAAAGAAACUCUUCAGUAAAUUUAAUAGAGGACAAAAGUGUCUUUUAAUGGAAAAUGAUGCAAUGUAUAUUAGAGUAGGGCUUUUCAAAGUGUGUUGUCAGGUCUAGCACCAUUAGCAUCUCGUGGGAACUUUAGUUAAAAUGUAAGUUCUUGGCUGGGUGUGGUGGCUCAUACCUCUAAUCCCAACACUUUGGGAGGCCAGGGCGGGAGGAUCACUUGAGUUCAGGAGUUGGAGACCAGCCUGCAACAUGGUGAAACUGUGUCUCUACAAAAAUACAAAAAUUAGCCAUUUGUGGUGGCACACACGUGUGGUCCCAGCUACUCCAGAGGCUGAGGUGGAACCAUCACCUGAGCCGGGGAGGCAAAGGUUGCAGUGAGCCAAGAUCUCACCACUGCAGACCUCAUUUCAAAAAAAAAACAAAAACGAAAAAAGGCAA
This 2054-nucleotide small RNA is filed under the name Pongo abelii (Sumatran orangutan). Its description in RNAcentral is "processed transcript". The record is from RNAcentral. Lineage: Eukaryota; Metazoa; Chordata; Mammalia; Primates; Hominidae.